This 494-nucleotide ribosomal RNA is filed under the name uncultured bacterium. Its description in RNAcentral is "partial 16S ribosomal RNA". It matches the Rfam family "Bacterial small subunit ribosomal RNA", at positions 28 to 507 of the family's 1533-position model. The record is from RNAcentral.
GACGAGCGCUGGCGGCGUGCCUAAUACAUGCAAGUAGAACGCUGAAGGAGGAGCUUGCUCUUCUGGAUGAGUUGCGAACGGGUGAGUAACGCGUAGGUAACCUGCCUGGUAGCGGGGGAUAACUAUUGGAAACGAUAGCUAAUACCGCAUAACAGUAGAUGUUGCAUGACAUUUACUUAAAAGGUGCAAUUGCAUCACUACCAGAUGGACCUGCGUUGUAUUAGCUAGUUGGUGGGGUAACGGCUCACCAAGGCGACGAUACAUAGCCGACCUGAGAGGGUGAUCGGCCAAACUGGGACUGAGACACGGCCCAGACUCCGACGGGAGGAAGCAGUGGGGAAUCUUCGGAAAUGGGCGGAAGCCUGACCGAGCCAUCCCGCGUGGGUGAAGAAGGUUUUCGGGUUGUAAAGCCCUUUUGUAGGAAAAGAAAGGGGGGGGGUUGAUAAACCCCUCUUCUGACGGUAACCUAAGAAUAAGGGCCGGCUAACCUCGUG